GUUGGCUUGGAAGCAGCCAUUCAUUUAAAGAGUGCGUAACAGCUCACUAGUCGAGGAGUUUGGCGUGGAUAAUAAUCGGGCAUAAGUAUUCUACCGAAGCUUUGGGAUGAGAAAUCAUCGGUAGGGGAGCAUUCCACUCGGCGUCGAAGGUGAGGCGUGAGCCUUGCUGGAGCGUGUGGAAAAGCAAAUGUAGGUAUAAGUAACGAUAAGGCAGGCGAGAAACCUGCCCGCCGAAAGACUAAGGUUUCCUGAUCAACGCUAAUCGGAUCAGGGUAAGUCGGGUCCUAAGGCUCAGCCGAACGGCGAGGCCGAUGGCAGAACCGGUUAAUAUUCCGGUACUACCUGUGGGAGUGACGUGGAGACGGAGUCGUGACAGCGCCGCGGACUGACGGAAUAGUCCGUUGAAGGGUGUAGAUGCUGAUUGUUCCAGGCAAAUCCGGAGCAAGAGUCGAACCUGAUAGUAUGGAGCGUUCUUAGAACAAUCCAAUAGUGCGUGUAAUCAUACUUCCAAGAAAAUCCGCUAAACUUAAUCCUGCAGGUACCCGUACCGCAAACGGACACACGUAGUCGGGUUGAAUAUACUAAGGCGCUUGAGUGAUUCACGGUUAAGGAACUAGGCAAACUGACCCUGUAACUUCGGGAUAAAGGGUCCUCGCUUAACGGCGAGGCGCAGAGAAUAGGUCCAGGCAACUGUUUAACAAAAACACAGGGCUGUGCAAAAUUGAAAGAUGAAGUAUACAGCCUGACACCUGCCCGGUGCUGGAAGGUUAAGAGGAGAUGUCAUCGCAAGAGAAGCAUUGAAUUGAAGCCCCAGUAAACGGCGGCCGUAACUAUAACGGUCCUAAGGUAGCGAAAUUCCUUGUCGGGUAAGUUCCGACCUGCACGAAUGGUGUAAUGAUCUGGACGCUGUCUCAACCGUGAGCUCAGUGAAAUUGUAGUAUCGGUGAAGAUGCCGAUUACCCGCGAUGGGACGAAAAGACCCCGUGAACCUUUACUAUAGCUUAUCAUUGAAUCUGGGCACGUGAUGUGUAGGAUAGGUCGGAGGCUUUGAAGCAGGUACGCCAGUAUUUGUGGAGCCGCUGUUGAAAUACGACCCUUUAUUUGUUUGGAUUCUAACCCGUGGAACGGGGACAUUGAUUGGUGGGUAGUUUGACUGGGGUGGUCGCCUCCAAAAGCGUAACGGAGGCUUCUAAAGGUGCCCUCACGACGAUUGGUAACCGUCGGCAGAGUG
This 1231-nucleotide ribosomal RNA is filed under the name human gut metagenome. Its description in RNAcentral is "bacterial LSU rRNA". It matches the Rfam family "Bacterial large subunit ribosomal RNA", at positions 1100 to 2351 of the family's 2925-position model. The record is from RNAcentral.